UUGAACGCUGGCGGCAUGCCUAACACAUGCAAGUCGAACGGGGUAGCAAUACAACUAGUGGCGGACGGGUGAGGAAUACAUAGGAAUUUGCCUUUAGGUGGGGGAUAGUCCGGGGAAACUCGGUUUAAUACCGCAUGAUGUCGCAAGACCAAAGCAGGGGAUCGCAAGACCUUGCGCCUUUAGAGAAGCCUAUGUCGGAUUAGCUAGUUGGUAGGGUAACGGCCUACCAAGGCGACGAUCCGUAACUGGUCUGAGAGGACGAUCAGUCACACCGGAACUGAGACACGGCCCAGACUCCUACGGGAGGCAGCAGUGGGGAAUCUUGCGCAAUGCGCGAAAGCGUGACGCAGCAACACCGCGUGAGGGAAGACGGGCCUUCGGGUUGGUAAACCUCUUUCUAGGAGGGACGAAGGGUGACCGGUGAAUAGCCGUGUUGCUUGACGGUACC
Molecule: ribosomal RNA, 448 nt
Filed under: uncultured bacterium
Lineage: Bacteria
Description: bacterial SSU rRNA
Rfam family: Bacterial small subunit ribosomal RNA
Source: RNAcentral